This 344-nucleotide long non-coding RNA is filed under the name Rattus norvegicus (Norway rat). RNAcentral's name for it is "long non-coding RNA NONRATT001048". Lineage: Eukaryota; Metazoa; Chordata; Mammalia; Rodentia; Muridae. The record is from RNAcentral.
UCGUAGGUGAACAGUCUGCAUGUUGCUGACCCAGUGGAGACAGUGCUGCAGCUCCAGGACUGCAGCAUCUUCAUCAAGAUUAUUAACAGCAUCCAUGACACUAAAGAGGGGCAACAAAUCCUACAGCAGCCACUGCCGGAAAGACUAGACUUUGUUUGCAGUUUUCUACAGAAAAAUCGGAAGCAUCCUUCAUCUACACAAUGCCUGGUAUCUGUGCAGAAAGUGAUGGAGGGCUCCGAGAUGGAACUGGCCAAGAUGGUAAUGCUAUUUUUAUAUCACUCCACCAUGAGCUCCAGAAACCCCCGGGACUGGGAGCAGUUUGAAUAUGGGGUUCAGGUAGGCUU